CCUACGGGAGACAGCAGUAGGGAAUAUUGCUCAAUGGGGGAAACCCUGAAGCAGCAACGCCGCGUGGAGGAUGAGGGUUUUCGGAUUGUAAACUCCUUUUGUUAGAGAAGAUAAUGACGGUAUCUAACGAAUAAGCACCGGCUAACUCCGUGCCUGCACCCGCGGUAAUACGGAGGGUGCAAGCGUUACUCGGAAUCACUGGGCGUAAAGAGCGCGUAGGCGGGAUAGCAAGUCAGAUGUGAAAUCCUAUGGCUUAACCAUAGAACUGCAUUUGAAACUGUUAUUCUAGAGUAUGGGAGAGGUAGGUGGAAUUCUUGGUGUAGGGGUAAAAUCCGUAGAGAUCAAGAGGAAUACUCAUUGCGAAGGCGACCUGCUGGAACAUAACUGACGCUGAUGCGCGAAAGCGUGGGGAGCAAACAGGAUUAGAUACCCUUGUAGUC
RNAcentral lists this ribosomal RNA (440 nucleotides) under uncultured bacterium. RNAcentral describes it as "partial 16S ribosomal RNA". It matches the Rfam family "Bacterial small subunit ribosomal RNA", at positions 338 to 795 of the family's 1533-position model. The record is from RNAcentral.